GACGAACGCUGGCGGCGUGCUUAACACAUGCAAGUCGAACGGAAAGGCCCUGCUUUUGUGGGGUGCUCGAGUGGCGAACGGGUGAGUAACACGUGAGUAACCUGCCCUUGACUUUGGGAUAACUUCAGGAAACUGGGGCUAAUACCGGAUAUGAGCUCCUGCUGCAUGGUGGGGGUUGGAAAGUUUCGGCGGUUGGGGAUGGACUCGCGGCUUAUCAGCUUGUUGGUGGGGUAGUGGCUUACCAAGGCUUUGACGGGUAGCCGGCCUGAGAGGGUGACCGGCCACAUUGGGCCUGAGAUACGGCCCAGACUCCUACGGGAGGCAGCAGUGGGGAAUAUUGCACAAUGGGCGGAAGCCUGAUGCAGCAACGCCGCGUGCGGGAUGACGGCCUUCGGGUUGUAAACCGCUUUCGCCUGUGACGAAGCGUGAGUGACGGUAAUGGGUAAAGAAGCACCGGCUAACUACGUG
Molecule: ribosomal RNA, 468 nt
Filed under: uncultured bacterium
Lineage: Bacteria
Description: partial 16S ribosomal RNA
Rfam family: Bacterial small subunit ribosomal RNA
Source: RNAcentral